AGAACGACUCUCGGCAACGGAUAUCUCGGCUCUCGCAUCGAUGAAGAACGUAGCGAAAUGCGAUACUUGGUGUGAAUUGCAGAAUCCAGUGAACCAUCGAGUCUUUGAACGCAAGUUGCGCCCGAAGCCUUCUGGCCGAGGGCACGUCUGUCUGGGCGUCACGC
RNAcentral lists this ribosomal RNA (164 nucleotides) under Rheum palmatum. RNAcentral describes it as "5.8S ribosomal RNA". It matches the Rfam family "5.8S ribosomal RNA". From Rfam's summary of the family: 5.8S ribosomal RNA (5.8S rRNA) is a component of the large subunit of the eukaryotic ribosome. It is transcribed by RNA polymerase I as part of the 45S precursor that also contains 18S and 28S rRNA. Lineage: Eukaryota; Viridiplantae; Streptophyta; Magnoliopsida; Caryophyllales; Polygonaceae. The record is from RNAcentral.